CCUCAGAGACCACAGAGACAGACCUCAGAGACCAGAGAGGGCCGGCGGAGGCAGGCUCCAGUCCCAAGGAGGAGGAGUAAAGCAAAGUCCAACCUGGACUCCGGCCCUGGAAUUUCAAUGCCUUCUAGACCAAGCCGGGCACUGGGACUGCUGCCUCCCCCUGCUGUCUUCCCACUCUCCAGCCUGAUUUCCUUUGGAGACUCUAGAGGGCCCAGCUAAGAACUUGGCACUAUGCCCAGGGAUCCAGAAGUGACCUCAAGACUCUCCUACUCCUGACCCACACGGGACAAGCUAGCAUCUACCUCACAAUGUGACAGGUCCCUUAGGGAGUGGCAGACAUAACUGAGAAAAAUGGACUCUUUCAGUAUGUAAAGUCUUGAUAUAAAUACAUAAGAUCGGCCUUCAGAUUUCUCUUGAUAAGAUGUCAGAGGAGAUGAACAGUUUACGCAAAGGAAAAGCAGACAAUAAAUCCUAAUGUGGAAGUGUGCCCAGUCUC
Odocoileus virginianus texanus is the source of this 496-nucleotide long non-coding RNA. RefSeq lists it as uncharacterized. The record is from RefSeq and is a predicted model, not a curated record. Lineage: Eukaryota; Metazoa; Chordata; Mammalia; Artiodactyla; Cervidae.